Molecule: ribosomal RNA, 468 nt
Filed under: uncultured bacterium
Lineage: Bacteria
Description: partial 16S ribosomal RNA
Rfam family: Bacterial small subunit ribosomal RNA
Source: RNAcentral
GACGAACGCUGGCGGCGUGCUUAACACAUGCAAGUCGAACGGAAAGGCCCUGCUGUUGUGGGGUGCUCGAGUGGCGAACGGGUGAGUAACACGUGAGUAACCUGCCCUUGACUUUGGGAUAACUUCAGGAAACUGGGGCUAAUACCGGAUAGGAGCUCCUGCUGCAUGGUGGGGGUUGGAAAGUUUCGGCGGUUGGGGAUGGACUCGCGGCUUAUCAGCUUGUUGGUGGGGUAGUGGCUUACCAAGGCUUUGACGGGUAGCCGGCCUGGGAGGGUGACCGGCCACAUUGGGACUGAGAUACGGCCCAGACUCCUACGGGAGGCAGCAGGGGGGAAUAUUGCACAAUGGGCGGAAGCCUGAUGCAGCAACGCCGCGUGCGGGAUGACGGCCUUCGGGUUGUAACCCGCUUUCGCCUGUGACGAAGCGUGAGUGACGGUAAUGGGUAAAGAAGCACCGGCUAACUACGUG